UGAGAAUCUCUUUGAAUUGGUGUUUUGGU
This 29-nucleotide non-coding RNA is filed under the name Rattus norvegicus (Norway rat). Lineage: Eukaryota; Metazoa; Chordata; Mammalia; Rodentia; Muridae. The record is from RNAcentral.